AGCAGAGCUGCAGAAAAAGGAAGAAGAUUAGAAAAGCUGGUCCAGAGGAAGCAUUUCUUUUGGCAGCAAGGAUUCCAGUUCCCCAAGGGACAGUUUCCACUGACCACCUGUGAACACAGGUCUGCAGGAGCCCUGUGUGGUUGGGACGCAGAAGAUAUUUCAAGGGGUGAGGUCAUGCCCUACUCAAGCCUGCCAUGUGAGGUGGGUUUCACGAUCCUCUCUGGUGAGGUCUGCCGGCACACGGACUUGUACAAAAGGCCAACAGAAGAGCUGCAUGCCGGGCCAUAGCCGGGGAAGAUGGGAAGACAGUAUCCAAGACUGACCAACCUCCCUGACAGUUGAGCUUCCCUGAGGCUGUAACACAAGCAGAAACACCCAGCUGGGAACUGACUGCACAUUGGCUGGGGCUCUCUAAGUAGGCCUUGGGAAGGCCACAGAGGCCUAGAGGCACGGGAGGAGGCGAAGGUGAGGAGUGGGCGGAGCCACCAACCCUAUUUUCCUUUCUGAAUCUUCCAGGUGCUUGGGAGGGAUUUCCAGCUUGGCAUUCAUGCAACUGUCUGUGUGUGUUUCUCCACAGGUGUUUGUCUACGAGUAUGUUCCACCCAUGUGUCUGAUCAUGCCUGCAGGCCUCUGUCUCUAAACUCAUGCCCGUUCCUCCCAGAAACAUGACUACAGUCCCUACUUUGUGGGAGCAUUCUCACCUCAAAGCACUUACUAAAAUAAACCUGCUCCAAACACUUUAACAGCCAUCCCACCCCACCCCCCCCCCCCCCCCUUUCUGUCCACAGGCACUCACACCAGCGGGUCUCCACGGUCAAUUUAGGAAGCUUGGGAAAAUAUUGCUUAUAAUUGAAAGUCUAAAAGCGCCUCAAUUAGGGCAGUGUUCGGUCUGCCAGGCCUGGUCCCAGAUCCCACUCGGCAGCAUUCCUGUCCUGGCGGGAAAAGCCCUUUGAUUUGCACCAAAUGUUUCGUGGCCAGGCUGGAUGGCGUGUUGGCUCUGCUGGUCUUGCCAGCUGCCCAGGGCACUACUAACCAGCAUGAACCCUAAGGCCUGAGACCCAACCCAAGACAUGGUCUUUGUCAAUGUAGGCCCCAAUCUCCCAGGCUCCUGAGCUUGUAGCUCCGCCAUGGUUUUAAGCACCUCCUUUUGAAGGGCGAAGCCUUUCCAUCUUCAGGCAAGAUGGGGGCCUGAGUCCACUCUAGCAUCCCUCCUUGGCCAGAGGCCAGGCCUACUGAGGAUGAGACAAAGCGGUUCAUGCUCCAAGGGAGGCUGGAUUGGAGGGUGCAACAAUCAACACCCAGUUCUCCUCCUUACUUCCACACCCACCUUCAUCUGAGCAGAGAGGCCUGCCCGGCGCUAUAGCCACCUCAGAGAAUGCAGGAGGAGGUCUCCAGCUUGGAGCAGAAGGGCUGGCUGGGGCGGGAACAGGGUGGGGUGAGGUGGGCAUAGGCUCAGCACCUGACCUUGUACCCUCUGGGAUUGCAAUGUACAGCUUAGCUAACGCCAAGUUCCGGUACUCUUGUGUUUGUGAGGGGGAAUCUGCUGAGGGCAGAAACAUGGAGCAGAGGGUGCGAUCUCUUCCUGGAGUGAAGGCUCAAAAGGAUGCUGGCACUGGGCCAUUGAGAUGGCUUAUCAGGGAAUGGAGAUUGCUGUGCAAACCUGGCAACCCGAGACCAAUCUCUGGAACCCAUGAGAAGAAGGUGGAGGAGAGAUCCAGCAACACAGCUUUGUUCUCUGACUGACCGCCAUGUGUGUUGUGGCAUGUGCACCCAGCCACACCCAAAAAGAAAUGAAUGAAAGAACAACACCCCGAACUCAGGACUGGGUUGUGUGUUACAAAGGGCCAGAUGCCUGGCGACAAGGCCUGCCAGAGGACUGCCCUGAAUGGGACCGCAAAAGAAGUCUUAAAGGUGUGAGACCUGUCACCAGAUUCUCCUGAAGAACGUGCAGGGCUGGGAGGAACUGUAAAGACUCUAUAGAGUGAGCGGACAUGGCCUUUAUCUCCCUCGAAUCUCCUCAUGUCUCCCCUCGGGCCAGUGGCCACCUGCUAGAAGCCUGUUCUGUUGCACAGGUCUGUGCCCUCCAACAUCCCCUUUGAGUCCUAGCCCAGUACACCCUCACCUCACUUUCUCUCGUGGCCCGUGGCCCUCUCUUUGCUUCCCUCCUCAGACUGCGCAGUGAUUGUGAAGUAUGGACAGAGAGACUCAAGCUCAAGCCCGGAGCCCGGCCGUGAGCCUGCCCAUCUAGAUAGAAUGAUCACACGCCAGUUCUGAGUGACAGAGGAGCACAUGAGGCAUACAGCACAGGGCCGCCUAAUGGGACAGCGGGGGAGCUCUAACCCAGAGCAGUUCUGACCUCACGCCUAGCCUCCAGGUGUGCCUCAUCUCCUCCUCUUGGGCUCCAGGGACAGAGUUCAAAAGGCAGAGUGCCCCACUCCCAACCCAACUACCGCCCCCACGAACCGGAAGACGGGAGCUCUUGGCCCAAGAUGAAUUCUGAAGGCCCCUGGCUGUCGUCCCCACCAGAUUGACUAGCAAUCCCGUGGACCCUGCCACGUCUCCCACGGCAAAGUUUGGUGCUGGAACGGAGGAAGGAACGGACGUAGCAAACAGGAGUGGGUUUGGAUUGAGUCACGACACGCUGGUGUGCAAGAUAGCUCUCCUUGAGAUUCCAGACACACCUUUGUUCCUCCUGCCUUGGGCUUCCUUAGAACUGCGAUUUAAGGUGAAAACUGUGGUUUCUGAACCCGGCUCUCAGAGCCUACCUGUCUUAGAGGGAAACCAGAGCCCCAGCAGCAAACCCCUUUGUAUACCCAUGUGCACAGUUGCUCCUUGGUGCUCCAUGCAUGCACUCUAGAGGAGUUACCAUGCCUCUCUCCACUCAAGCCUGCCAGCUCCCACAGACCUCCUCUGCAGACUCUUCAAGGUGACCUCUGUCUGGAGAUGAGGACAAUGUGCCUGUCUGUUUUUCAAAUAUUUGGAGCCUGCUAAAGACCAACACAUUUUUUAAAGUGUGUAUAAUUUGAGGGCAAUUUGAUCCAUAUGUUUCUGAUUCCCUUGCACUCAAAUCAUCAAAAUAUUGAUUUUUAAGAGCCAUUUGAUGUCUAAGGAACCUUUUUAAUAAGCUUUUAAAGCUCUUUAAACCCGGAGCCUGGAGCCGGUGCCAGGGCCCCAGCUGUCCCAGGGCCAGAGCACGCCACCCCCCUCCCCCAGGUCAGAGCCAUUUGGACCUGAGUCUCCCUUCUCUUCUGCAUGCCCAACCUUUGCCUGACCUCCCUGUCUCCCCUAGAACUACCCACAGGCCCCAGUGACUUCCCUCCACCAUCCCCCGCCGCCACCUUUCUCUUCAUAGACUUCCUUCACACUUCAAUGCAACUGUGAGACACAGACCAAGGGGACAGCCAUGGUAUUUAUUUAUUUUUGAAACUACAUAGCAUUUUAUUGUAGAAUGUGCUAGGAUGGGUCCAAUCAACCCUACUGAGGGAUGUCCAGGCCAUGUCCCAUUGUAUACCUCUGUGCGUGUUCCUGAUUAUAUCUUUUGGAUACAUUUCUAGAAAUAAAAACACUGGGUCAAAGAGGACACA
Molecule: long non-coding RNA, 3584 nt
Organism: Onychomys torridus (southern grasshopper mouse)
Lineage: Eukaryota; Metazoa; Chordata; Mammalia; Rodentia; Cricetidae
Exons: 7
Source: RefSeq, a predicted model, not a curated record